UGACUUUGAUCAUGGCUCAGGAUGAACGCUAGCUACAGGCUUAACACAUGCAAGUCGAGGGGAAACGAUAGAGAAAGCUUGCUUUUUCUAGGCGUCGACCGGCGCACGGGUGAGUAACGCGUAUCCAACCUGCCCAUCACUUGGGGAUAACCUUGCGAAAGUAAGACUAAUACCCAAUGAUAUCUCAAGAAGACAUCUGAAUGAGAUUAAAGAUUUAUCGGUGAUGGAUGGGGAUGCGUCUGAUUAGCUUGUUGGCGGGGUAACGGCCCACCAAGGCGACGAUCAGUAGGGGUUCUGAGAGGAAGGUCCCCCACAUUGGAACUGAGACACGGUCCAAACUCCUACGGGAGGCAGCAGUGAGGAAUAUUGGUCAAUGGGCGAGAGCCUGAACCAGCCAAGUAGCGUGCAGGAUGACGGCUCUAUGGGUUGUAAACUGCUUUUAUAAGGGAAUAAAGUGAGCCUCGUGAGGCUUUUUGCAUGUACCUUAUGAAUAANGACCGGCUAAUUCCGUGCCAGCAGCCGCGGUAAUACGGAAGGUUCGGGG
This 544-nucleotide ribosomal RNA is filed under the name uncultured organism. RNAcentral describes it as "bacterial SSU rRNA". It matches the Rfam family "Bacterial small subunit ribosomal RNA", at positions 1 to 539 of the family's 1533-position model. The record is from RNAcentral.